GACGAACGCUGGCGGCGUGCCUAAUACAUGCAAGUCGAGCGAAGUUUUUCUGGUGCUUGCACUAGAAAAACUUAGCGGCGAACGGGUGAGUAACACGUAAAGAACCUGCCUCAUAGACUGGGACAACUAUUGGAAACGAUAGCUAAUACCGGAUAACAGUAUUUCUCGCAUGAGAGAUAUUUAAAAGUUGGUUAUGCUAACACUAUGAGAUGGCUUUGCAGUGCAUUAGCUAGUUGGUGGGGUAAAGGCCCACCAAGGCGACGAUGCAUAGCCGACCUGAGAGGGUGAUCGGCCACACUGGGACUGAGACACGGCCCAGACUCCUACGGGAGGCAGCAGUAGGGAAUCUUCCGCAAUGGGCGAAAGCCUGACGGAGCAACGCCGCGUGAGUGAAGAAGGAUUUCGGUUCGUAAAGCUCUGUUGUUAGGGAAGAAUGGAUAUGUAGUAACUAUACAUGUAAGAGACGGUACCUAACCAGAAAGCCACGGCUAACUACGUG
This 499-nucleotide ribosomal RNA is filed under the name uncultured bacterium. Its description in RNAcentral is "partial 16S ribosomal RNA". It matches the Rfam family "Bacterial small subunit ribosomal RNA", at positions 28 to 507 of the family's 1533-position model. The record is from RNAcentral.